UGGGAAAUGGGGAAGGGGAAGGAAAAGGAGAAGGGAAAGGGAAAAGGGGAAGGGAAGGGAAGGGAAGGGAAGGGAAGGGAAGGGAAGGGAAGGGGAAAUGGGGAAAUGGGGAAAUGGGGAAAUGAUGGGAGAAGGGAUGGGAAAAGGGAAGGGAAAAGAGAAGGGAAAACGGAAAAGGGAAGGGAUCCCUGGGGAGGUCCACAAGGAGAACAGGGAAGCAUCUCCCCUCCCGCCACCCCAAAAUCUGCUCCUGCAUGACCUGGGGAUGCCAUUCCCGCACAAAUCCCAUUGGGAUGGCGCUCUUAGGCCGCUUCUUCCUGGAGCUUCCCUGUUCCCCCCCCAUGGACCUCCCCACCGCCGAGGCUCGGGGGCAAGUCAAGCUCCUGUCCCCUGUCCCCUGUGCGAUCCUGGCGCUCCUUCCCCAGCACACGCACUACCCGCAGUUUUCCAGCCGGGAAUUCGCGGGGCGGACGCGGCGCGGGCCCUUCGGGGACGCGCUGGCCGAGUUCGAUGACUCCGUGGGGCAGCUGCUGCAGGCGCUGCGGGACAACGGCCUGGAGAGCUCCACACUGCUGUUCUUCACCUCCGACAACGGGUGAGGGCUGGGGGGACAGCGGGGGGUACCCCAAAUGUCACCUGGGUCUGGUGGGACACCUCCAGUGUCGUCUGGGUUUGGUGGGGCACCCCAAAUGUCACCUGGGUUUGGUGGGACACUCCAAAUGUGCCCUGGGUUGGUGGGACAUCCCCAAAUGUCACCUGGGUUUGGUGGGACACCCCCAAAUGUCACCUGGGUUUGGUGGGACAUCCCCAAAUGUCAUCUGGGUUUGGUGGGACAUCCCCACAUGUCGCCUGGGUUUGUGGGACAUCCAAAAUGUCACCUGGGCUUGGUGGGACAUCCCCAAAUGUCACCUGGGUUUGGUGGGACACCUCCAGUGUCAUCUGGGUUUGGUGGGACAUCCCCAAAUGUCACCUGGGCUUGGUGGGACAUCCCCAAAUGUCAUCUGGGUUUGGUGGGACAUCCCCAAAUGUCACCUGGGCUUGGUGGGACACCCCCAAAUGUCACCUGGGUUUGGUGGGAUAUCCAAAAUGUCACCUGGGCUUGGUGGGACAUCCCCAAAUGUCAUCUGGGUUUGGUGGGACAUCCCCACAUGUCACUUGGGUUUGGUGGGACACCUCCAGUGUCACCUGGGUUUGGUGGGACAUCCCCAAAUGUCACCUGGGCUUGGUGGGACACCCCAAAUGUCACCUGGGUUUGGUGGGUCACCCCAAAUGUUCCUGGGUUUGUGGGACACCUCCAGUGUCACCUGGGUUUGGUGGGUCACCCUCAAAUGUCACCUGGGUUUGGGUCACCCCAAAUGUCACCUGGGUUUGUGGGACAUCCCCAGUGUAACCUGGGUCUGGGUCACCCCAAAUGUCACCUGGGUUUGGGUCAGGUGUGUGACACCCCAAAUGUCACCUGGGUCUGGUGGGACACCUCCAGUGUCACCUGGGCUUGGUACAUCCCAAAUGUCACCUGGGUCUGGUGGGACACCUCCAGUGUCAUCUGGGCUUGGUACAUCCCAAAUGUCACCUGGGUCUGGUAUGACACCCCCAAAUGUCCCUGGGUUUGGGUCACCCCCAAAUGUCACCUGGGCUUGGUGGGACACCCCAAAUGUCACCUGGGUUUCGUGGGACACCCCCAAAUGUCCCCAGGGUUUCCUGUGCCACCCCAAAUGUCCCUGGGUUUGGUCCCCGCCCGUGCCAGCCGCAGUCCCCUCAGUUCCCCCCGUGUGUGUGACCCCACUGGGCUGUGCCACCCCCUUGUGCCACCCUCGGGGAGCCAGAGCUGCGCUGGCACCGCCCGGUCCUGUCCCUGUCCCUGUCCCUGUCCCUGUCCCUGUCCCUGUCCCUGCUCCUGUCCCUGUCCCUGUCCCUGUCCCUGUCCCUGCUCCUGUCCCUGUCCCUGCUCCUGUCCCUGUCCUUGUCCCUGGUACCGUCCGGUCCUGUCC
Cyanistes caeruleus (blue tit) is the source of this 1988-nucleotide long non-coding RNA. Lineage: Eukaryota; Metazoa; Chordata; Aves; Passeriformes; Paridae. The record is from Ensembl.